CUGUCAUUGGAGAACAAGUCGCAAGAUAGUAACUGCUCUUGCGUUGAUAGUACCCGAAGAGGAAGAGACGGCUAACUCUGUGC
Molecule: ribosomal RNA, 83 nt
Filed under: uncultured bacterium
Lineage: Bacteria
Description: partial 16S ribosomal RNA
Source: RNAcentral